This 529-nucleotide ribosomal RNA is filed under the name uncultured bacterium. RNAcentral describes it as "bacterial SSU rRNA". It matches the Rfam family "Bacterial small subunit ribosomal RNA", at positions 349 to 870 of the family's 1533-position model. The record is from RNAcentral.
CAGCAGUGGGGAAUUUUGGACAAUGGGCGAAAGCCUGAUCCAGCCAUGCCGCGUGAGUGAAGAAGGCCUUCGGGUUGUAAAGCUCUUUUAGUUGGAAAGAAAGAAUUAUAGUUAAUAGCUAUAAUUUAUGACGGUACCAACAGAAAAAGCACCGGCUAACUACGUGCCAGCAGCCGCGGUAAUACGUAGGGUGCGAGCGUUAAUCGGAAUUACUGGGCGUAAAGGGUGCGCAGGCGGCCAUGCAAGUCAGAUGUGAAAGCCCCGGGCUUAACCUGGGAAUUGCGUUUGAAACUGCAAGGCUAGAGUGCAACAGAGGGGAGUGGAAUUCCAUGUGUAGCAGUGAAAUGCGUAGAGAUGUGGAAGAACACCGAUGGCGAAGGCAGCUCCCUGGGUUGACACUGACGCUCAUGCACGAAAGCGUGGGGAGCAAACAGGAUUAGAUACCCUGGUAGUCCACGCCCUAAACUAUGUCAACUGGUUGUCGGAUCUAAUUAAGGAUUUGGUAACGUAGCUAACGCGUGAAGUGACC